AGUCUGUAGCGCGCGCCUCGCCGUUUCCCUCAUAACGACGGAGAAUUCGGCAAAGGAGAGCUACGUCUCCCUGUCUUUCUUUCCUGUAUUACAAUUGCAUCUAUAAGAAAGGCCCGGGAAAAAGACAGGUUGACCUUGUGUGUGGAGGGAAAAAUGCAAGAAAAGAGAGCAGGAGAGAGCACAGGGUUGUUGGCUGCUGGCGGAUCGGUGCAGAGAGUCCGUACGGGAUCCUUCUCUGAGGAAGAAGCAGAGGAGAGCUGGGUAGCACAGCGAACUGGCCUGAUUUAGGGUUCAGACUGGAGCCAUAGGUAACCCGAGCCAAAGGGGUUUUCUUCGAUCGCCGGACAGUCACGAGGAGCAGAGUUAAUCCCAGCGAAUUUAAACUGCACCAUGAGCUGAAGCUAGUGGGACCUUGGCCAGCUUGGACCGAAACACUGCCCGGAGCUGUGGACCAACAAUCUCACGACUUGAAUUUUUGCACCUCCUUGGAUGUGUGAGUGCUCCUGUCUAGUAUGAGCUCCAAUGUGCACCAACUAGCCGGCAUAAAGUGUGUGAUUCUCUUGGCACAUACCCGAGUACUCUCCUUUUACAGUAUGUGUAUUCAAUUGAUUGUGUCUUUUUUAUGCAUAAGAGAAAACAUUGUAGUCAAUGUACAAAUUGGUCAAAUGUGUUUGUUUUUGUUUCCUGCUUAAAGUGUAAUGUAAUGAACUGGGGAGGCGUGAAAGGGAAUUAAGACAGCAUUUUAAAUUUU
This is a long non-coding RNA of Paramormyrops kingsleyae, 751 nucleotides long. RefSeq lists it as uncharacterized. Lineage: Eukaryota; Metazoa; Chordata; Actinopteri; Osteoglossiformes; Mormyridae. The record is from RefSeq and is a predicted model, not a curated record.